Molecule: long non-coding RNA, 1452 nt
Organism: Raphanus sativus (radish)
Lineage: Eukaryota; Viridiplantae; Streptophyta; Magnoliopsida; Brassicales; Brassicaceae
Exons: 4
Source: RefSeq, a predicted model, not a curated record
AUCAAUACUAUUAAAACAGAAGGCCCUUUUUUUAGGUGCCCUCCUGUUUCAACAAUAUUUACCAUUUUUUGCCACUGUAUUAUUUUUAAGCUAUGUUUUUAAUUAAAAUCAGUAUUUUUGUAAUUUUUUUUAUUCAAACAGAAACACAUAUGUGAUAGCUAUGUAAUUCUUUUUAUUUUCGUAAUACAUUCAAAGUAAUCGAAUAUACCCUAAAUCCCUAAUAAUACUGAACGACAUAUUACCUGAAAUCCCUAAUAAUACUAAACGACAUCUAUUUAGUUUGAUUUUGUACCACUUUCAACCGUGGUUUUUCGAAGAUUAUACAGAUGAAGCUUGAUACAAAUGCUUUGAAACUUCCAUUCCUACGAUUGGCAAAAAUAUGCUUGAUGAUUUUUCUAUUCUAUCCUCCACUGAUCUCCCGAACAUCAUAUUAAGAAGCUGUACAGAUUGUGAAGCCUGCGGAAGGAACAACCACACCCGCUUUUUUCUUCUGAGUUGUCAUGGUCGCUGCUGAUUUUCGGGCUAGGAGAGGAGGCGAAUCAAUCGAGAUGAAGGAGAAGAUUGAUGUCAAUAAGAAGCCAAUGACUAGAUAUUUUAAGGAAGCCAAACAUUAACCCUGUUGUCUGUUUAUUUGACCCUGGAGAAAAGACUUCUGUGGAGGGUCCUGUCACACCUUUUAUUCUCCAUAAUUCUUUUUCUCUGCUUAUGUAUUUCCAGCUAAUAAGUAUAAGUGUUCUUGCUUUGAAACUUGGACUUUAUUAUAUGUACUGAUGCUUUUUGAUCAGCUUAAUGAGCAGCGUCAAACUGAUUCCUGAGCAGCGUCGAACUGGUGGAAGGGUGAUAUGGAGAGCAGGAAGCGUGAUGGUGGUUUAUCAUGGGUGUGACUCCUUCUGCGAUCUCUAAUCAAAUUGCCAGACCUGAAGAAACUCUUUUUUUUUGUUCCAGAUGUAUCUUCAGCUGGCAUUAAAGCAACAAAAUGCCAAGUAGUCUAAACGCACCUCCGGAAAUCAAAGAUCCGAUUGUCAAGAACCCGAUUCGCAAGGAGAGUAUGACAGAAGAAGAAUCUGAGUUUAACAGUCUAUUAAACAGCUUAGGCUCACGUUUUCACGAGUGGUGGGGUACUGGUGUGAUUCCGGUGAGCGCUGACUUACUACCUCAUACGAUUCCCGGUUAAAAAACACAUUUCAGGCUUCUUCCUAUAAAACUCUCCCUUGCCAUUUUGCUCUUGGUAGGAACAGGAAUCACUAAGAAUUGGCAACGCUAUACUUAAGCCCUGGGAGAAAAGUUUGAUUGCAAAGAUUGCCGUGAAGCGAGGUAUCCAGAAUUCAAAUAACAAACUGAUGGCGGAUGAGAUAUUAGUGUUUGUACAUAAUUCUCUUUCUCUGCUUAUGUAUUUCCAGCUUAGAAAUAAAAGGGAAAACAGAAUUUAAUAUAAAAAAUAAGUCAAUGUUU